This 253-nucleotide ribosomal RNA is filed under the name uncultured bacterium. RNAcentral's name for it is "partial 16S ribosomal RNA". It matches the Rfam family "Bacterial small subunit ribosomal RNA", at positions 524 to 776 of the family's 1533-position model. The record is from RNAcentral.
UACAGAGGUCCCAAGCGUUGUUCGGAUUCACUGGGCGUAAAGGGUGCGUAGGCGGUCAGACAAGUCUGAUGUGAAAGCUUCGAGCUUAACUCGGAAAUGGCAUCGGAAACUGUCUGGCUAGAGGAGUGGAGGGGGGAUUGGAAUUCUCGGUGUAGCAGUGAAAUGCGUAGAUAUCGAGAGGAACACCCGUGGCGAAGGCAAAUCCCUGGACACCUCCUGACGCUGAGGCACGAAAGCUAGGGGAGCAAACAGG